CGUGGAGACAGGUGGUGCAUGGCUGUCGUCAGCUCGUGUCGUGAGAUGUUGGGUUAAGUCCCGCAACGAGCGCAACCCUCACCCCUUGUUGCCAUCAGGUCACGCUGGGCACUCUAGGGGAACUGCCCCGGUCAACGGGGGGGAAGGUGGGGACGACGUCAAGUCAUCAUGCCCCUUACGCCCUGGGCUACACACGUGCUACAAUGGCCGGUACAAAGGGAUGCAAGACCGUGAGGUGGAGCUAAACCCAAAAAGCCGGUCUAAGUUCAGAUUGGAGUCUGCAACUCGACUCCAUGAAGGAGGAAUCGCUAGUAAUCGCGCAUCAGCACGGCGCGGUGAAUACGUUCCCGGGCCUUGUACACACCGCCCGUCACACCACGAAAGCCAGCUGUACUCGAAGUCGCUGAG
This 408-nucleotide ribosomal RNA is filed under the name uncultured Methylomirabilota bacterium. Its description in RNAcentral is "bacterial SSU rRNA". It matches the Rfam family "Bacterial small subunit ribosomal RNA", at positions 1027 to 1434 of the family's 1533-position model. Lineage: Bacteria; Methylomirabilota (SeqCode). The record is from RNAcentral.